ACUAAGACGAAGGGCGUGUACAAGCACGUGAUUCAUUCGGGACUUCCCAGCCCAGAGGGGAAGAGAAACUGCCACAGACCCUGAUGUCAACAGAAAAGUGUUAAGGUUGUUGCUGUGAACGUAGGCAGCCUCUAGCCCGCCUGAGUGAUAAGAUUACAGGGGACAGGCAGAGAGAUGAGGCUAAGAAGAUAUCUUUUCAGAGAUGUGUAACCCCAAGAACCUCAGGAUGAAGUGACCUCUACACGCUUUCCAGAAUAAACCUAUACUUUUGGGUCCUCAAGAAGUAAUUCUUUGGGAAUUCGUGAGUGGGUAUGAAAAGAAGCAGGAUUGUAUGCUGCAAAAGAAAGGACGUAUGCACACAGAGGACGUACAAUACUCUACAAAUAGAAGACCCUUGCUGAUUUUCCCUCUGCGUGAGAAUUUUAUUUGCCUUGACAGCUGGCCUAAUGUCAAACACGCAGUGAAAGUUGUUAAGCGAAAUAGAAACCUUGGUCUUGCAGAUCCAGGCUCCACCCUCCUCCACACUGAAUUGUUCCCUGGGAGGCUGACCUUUAUGAAUUGUGUCUAUGAACUCCCUUUCCCUCUGGCUUCUCACUGGGAUCAGCUGAUGGAAGCACCCGCAGGAGAUUGGAGGCAAGGAAGAGAGUGAGACUGUGGUAUUUUUUCCCUCAGCUCUCUUCCAUCCAGUUCAUCAUGCUCUCUCUACUGAAAGUCAGAUGUCACAUGGUCCUCUCCACACAGCCACCCUCUCCAGCUUCCAGUGACUGAUUCCUUGUCUUGCUUGCUCAGCAUAAGUGUGUAAUGGAUCCUCACUGUUGCUUGCAUGGAGAUGCUGUAUUAUCCUUAUUGGUGCUACUUACUAUGUCAACACCUUUGUAAAUAGUGACUUUCUUAUACUCCCUCAAUUACUGUGUUUGAGUGUGCCAGCUGCUUUUUUUUGGUAGAUAUGCCAACAACUGAGUUUUAUGCAUAAAGGCCUGAAAGUAAAGCGAAUAUUUGAGAUAGGCUAAGUUGAACAGAUCUUGGUUGGUGCAUUAACUGAGAUCCUUACAUCCACCUAGGUUGUUCUGACACCAUCACUGAUCAUGGGUGUUAUCUUUGUUCGUACACAUUAUAUGAUAAUAUCCCAGAGGAUAGGCGCUUACCUAUCCUCUGGGACUUUACAAGGAAAGUACUAAACUUUUUUUUUUCGUUUUACAGUCACACCUGUAGCAUAUGGA
Long non-coding RNA from Phacochoerus africanus (Common warthog), 1220 nucleotides. RefSeq lists it as uncharacterized. Lineage: Eukaryota; Metazoa; Chordata; Mammalia; Artiodactyla; Suidae. The record is from RefSeq and is a predicted model, not a curated record. The transcript has 3 exons.